RNAcentral lists this non-coding RNA (232 nucleotides) under Enterococcus sp. RNAcentral's name for it is "T-box sequence". It matches the Rfam family "T-box leader". Rfam says of the family: Uncharged tRNA acts as the effector for transcription antitermination of genes in the T-box leader family. T-boxes are found upstream of many aminoacyl-tRNA synthetase genes and some amino acid biosynthetic genes usually in Gram-positive bacteria. The anticodon of a specific tRNA base pairs to a specifier sequence within the T-box motif, and the NCCA acceptor tail of the tRNA base pairs to a conserved bulge in the T-box antiterminator hairpin. The record is from RNAcentral. Lineage: Bacteria; Bacillati; Bacillota; Bacilli; Lactobacillales; Enterococcaceae.
CUAAACACAAAGAACAGAAAGAAGUAAAAAAAGGAUCAUUUUAAGAGAGUCGACGGUUGGUGGGAGUCGACAAUCAUCCUUUUUUGAAAUGCCUCUGGGAGUGGUCUUGGUGAAUGAGAGAACAGUAAUAAGCUGCUCUCUCUGUAGCUAAGGACGAGUAACGGACGUUACCUGUUAGAGAUAAUCGUAGAUUAUGAAUAAAAGUGGAACCACGCCUCAUAGCGUCUUUUAA